UAUUAAUAUAAUUAUUACGAGGUAGAUCGGCUGUAUAUGUUGGGUUUUAUAGUGAGAACUCCAUGUUAAUUUGAGGCCAUAAUUGCUGGUCUUGUCUAUUUAUUGAAUUAAGUUUGAAUUCUCUCUUUGGUAAAUAACUCUAAUAGUGUGUUACACAUUUCUGUGACAGGUAUCAUUUCAGUUAGUGGCUGGGGUGGAGUUUUUUUAACAUUCGUCGCCAUUACAGCAGGAAAAACUAUUUUUGUGAGUUUCCUG
Pelobates cultripes (western spadefoot toad) is the source of this 255-nucleotide non-coding RNA. The record is from the annotation of a GenBank genome assembly. NCBI's taxonomy places the organism in Eukaryota, Metazoa, Chordata, Amphibia, Anura, Pelobatidae.